UACACAUUGCAGGCUUUCCAUGGAGACUUGAAGAACAGAAUCCACAGAGCAAACACAUUUCCAGGCAACCCAAAGAUGAACUCCAAAAUGAGAACAGGCUUUAAAAUUGAGUGACUGAACCUCAUUCCCUCUCGCCCUUAUUUGAGCCAAGAUAACCUGCGUCAAACAUAUCACUGAGGAAUGCUUCACAGAGGCCUUUUAAUCACAAAAGGCACACAUUUUUCUUCUGGAAGCGCAUGACUGAAAGUAAUAGGACUUCUAAUCGAAUGGAAGUUUUGGACAUCUAUUUCUUUAAAAAUCAAGACUUUUGCUUCUUAAAAGCUUGGUCAAGAAAACAUCUUCAUGAGAUGACAGCGCCUAAUAGUACCUUUGAGUACUAUUGAUUGUUACCUUGACAUAACCGUUAUCAUAAUCAUUAUGCCAUGUCACCUUCAGUGUCUCACAGGGCUCUGUAUGAGUUGUAGAGAUGAAAUAAUAAAUGGCCGUGAGGUUUCCA
This is a long non-coding RNA of Puntigrus tetrazona (Sumatra barb), 496 nucleotides long. RefSeq lists it as uncharacterized. The record is from RefSeq and is a predicted model, not a curated record. Lineage: Eukaryota; Metazoa; Chordata; Actinopteri; Cypriniformes; Cyprinidae. The transcript is spliced from 2 exons.